Molecule: ribosomal RNA, 397 nt
Filed under: uncultured bacterium
Lineage: Bacteria
Description: bacterial SSU rRNA
Rfam family: Bacterial small subunit ribosomal RNA
Source: RNAcentral
UAAUACGUAGGGGGCGAGCGUUGUCCGGAAUGACUGGGCGUAAAGGGCGUGUAGGCGGCCGAUUAAGUCCGGAGUGAAAGUCCUGCUUUCAAGGUGGGAAUUGCUUUGGAAACUGGUUGGCUUGAGUGCGGAAGAGGUAAGUGGAAUUCCCAGUGUAGCGGUGAAAUGCGUAGAGAUUGGGAGGAACACCAGUGGCGAAGGCGACUUACUGGGCCGUAACUGACGCUGAGGCGCGAAAGCGUGGGGAGCGAACAGGAUUAGAUACCCUGGUAGUCCACGCGGUAAACGAUGAAUGCUAGGUGUAGGGGGUAUCGACCCCUCCUGUGCCGGAGUAAACACAAUAAGCAUUCCGCCUGGGGAGUACGGCCGCAAGGUUGAAACUCAAAUGAAUUGACGG